Molecule: microRNA precursor, 193 nt
Filed under: Oryza brachyantha (malo sina)
Lineage: Eukaryota; Viridiplantae; Streptophyta; Magnoliopsida; Poales; Poaceae
Description: MIR812 microRNA precursor family
Rfam family: MIR812 microRNA precursor family
Source: Rfam by way of RNAcentral
AAUAAACUAAUUUUUCACUUUUUACCUAUAAUUUUUGACUUUUGUUUUAUUAAAAAAAAUUUUACGAUUGAUAUUUUGGUUUUUAUUAGAUGAUAAAUCAUAAAUAGUACUUUACGUUUGACUAAUUUUUUCUAAUUUUUUGAAAUUUUUUUAAAUAAGAUGGAUGGUCAUACGUUAGACACGGAAAUCGGAG